Molecule: non-coding RNA, 72 nt
Organism: Lachancea thermotolerans CBS 6340
Lineage: Eukaryota; Fungi; Ascomycota; Saccharomycetes; Saccharomycetales; Saccharomycetaceae
Source: Rfam
GGGCAUGUGGCGCAGUGGUAGCGCGCUCCCUUCGCAAGGGAGAGGUCAUGGGUUCGAGUCCCAUCUUGUCCA